RNAcentral lists this ribosomal RNA (1406 nucleotides) under metagenome. RNAcentral's name for it is "bacterial LSU rRNA". It matches the Rfam family "Bacterial large subunit ribosomal RNA", at positions 1501 to 2925 of the family's 2925-position model. The record is from RNAcentral.
GAAAGACCGGUGCAAGCACAGGAGGAGGGACACAGGCAAAUCCGUAUCCCAAUCCAAUGGUGUUACGCGGAGCGAACAAAAGUAGCAAAGCACACAGACCAUCUGUCGAGAAAAGCCGCUAUUGUGUAUACCGUACCCGUACCGUAAACCGACACAGGUGGAUGAGGAGAGAAUCCUAAGGCCGGCGGGAGAAGCAUUGUUAAGGAACUCGGCAAAAUGACCCCGUAACUUCGGGAGAAGGGGUGCUCACGCAAGUGAGCCGCAGAGAACUGGCCCAAGCAACUGUUUAGCAAAAACACAGGUCUAUGCAAAACCGAAAGGUGAGGUAUAUGGGCUGACGCCUGCCCGGUGCUGGGAGGUUAAGAGGAGAUGUUAGAGCAAUCGAAGCAUUGAAUUUAAGCCCCAGUAAACGGCGGCCGUAACAAUAACGGUCCUAAGGUAGCGAAAUUCCUUGUCGGGUAAGUUCCGACCCGCACGAAAGGCGUAAUGAUUUGGGCACUGUCUCGACAAUGCACCCGGUGAAAUUGAAAUACCAGUGAAGAUGCUGGUUACCUGCGCCAGGACGGAAAGACCCCAUGGAGCUUUACUCUAGCUUGAUACUGGGAUUCGGUAUUGCAUGUACAGGAUAGGUGGGAGACGAAGAGGUGAUGACGCCAGUUGUCACGGAGUCGGUGUUGGGAUACCACCCCUGCAGUACUGGGUUUCUAACCUGCGGCCGUGACCCGGCCGGGGGACAAUGUCUGGUGGGGAGUUUGACUGGGGCGGUCGCCUCCGAAAGGGUAUCGGAGGCGCUCAAAGGUUCCCUCAGAAUGGUUGGAAACCAUUCGAAGAGUGCAAAGGCAGAAGGGAGCUUGACUGCGACACCGACGGGUGGAGCAGGUACGAAAGUAGGACUUAGUGAUCCGGUGGUAUGAAAGUGGGAUUGCCAUCGCUCAACGGAUAAAAGCUACCCUGGGAUAACAGGCUUAUCACUCCCAAGAGUUCACAUCGACGGAGUGGUUUGGCACCUCGAUGUCGGCUCAUCGCAUCCUGGGGCUGUAGUAGGUCCCAAGGGUUGGGCUGUUCGCCCAUUAAAGCGGUACGCGAGCUGGGUUCAGAACGUCGUGAGACAGUUCGGUCCCUAUCCGGCGUGGGCGCAGGAUAUCUGAGAGGAGCUGUCCUUAGUACGAGAGGACCGGGAUGGACUGACCUCUGGUGCAUCGGUUGAGCCACCAGGCUCAUGGCCGAGUAGCCAAGUCGGGACGGGAUAAACGCUGAAGGCAUCUAAGCAUGAAGCCCCCCUCAAGAUGAGAUAUCCCAUAGAGUUAAUCUAGUAAGACCCCUUGAAGACGACGAGGUAGAUAGGCAGAAGGUGGAAGUGUGGUGACAUAUGGAGCUGAUCUGUACUAAUAGGUCGAGGGCUUAAU